CCUACGGGUGGCAGCAGUGGGGGAUAUUGGACAAUGGGGGGAACCCUGAUCCAGCGACGCCGCGUGAGUGAAGAAGUAUUUCGGAAUGUAAAGCUCUGUCAGCAGGGAAGAAAGAAAUGACGGUACAUGAACAAGCAGCCCCGGCUAACUACGUGCCAGCAGCCGCGGUAAUACGGUGGGGGCAAGCGUUAUCCGGAAUUACUGGGUGUAAAGGGAGCGUAGACGGUUAAGUAAGUCUGGAGUGAAAGGCCGGGGCACAACCCCGGGACUGCUCUGGAAACUAUUGAACUUGAGUGCAGGAGAGGUAAGCGGAAUUCCUAGUGUAGCGGUGAAAUGCGUAGAUAUUAGGAGGAACACCAGUGGCGAAGGCGGCUUACUGGACUGUAACUGACGUUGAGGCUCGAAAGCGUGGGGAGCAAACAGGAUUAGAUACCCCUGUAGUC
RNAcentral lists this ribosomal RNA (443 nucleotides) under uncultured bacterium. Its description in RNAcentral is "partial 16S ribosomal RNA". It matches the Rfam family "Bacterial small subunit ribosomal RNA", at positions 338 to 795 of the family's 1533-position model. The record is from RNAcentral.